UCGAGAGGCUUCGGCAAUGGGGGAAACCCUGACCGAGCGACGCCGCGUGCGGGAUGACGGCCCUCGGGUUGUAAACCGCUGUCAGGAGGGAAGAAUCCUUUCUGGUUAAUACCCAGAGAGUUGACGGUACCUCCAGAGGAAGCUCCGGCUAACUCCGUGCCAGCAGCCGCGGUAAUACGGAGGGAGCGAACGUUGUUCGGAUUCACUGGGCGUAAAGGGCGUGUAGGCGGUUUGGCAAGUCAGAGGUGAAAUACCUCGGCUCAACCGAGGACCUGCCUUUGAAACUACCGAACUUGAGGCCGUGAGAGGAGACUGGAAUUCCUAGUGUAGCGGUGAAAUGCAUAGAUAUUAGGAAGAACACCAGUGGCGAAGGCGAGUCUCUGGCACGGUUCUGACGCUGAGGCGCGAAAGCUAGGGGAGCGAACGGGAUUAGAUACCCCCGUAGUCC
This 448-nucleotide ribosomal RNA is filed under the name uncultured prokaryote. RNAcentral describes it as "bacterial SSU rRNA". It matches the Rfam family "Bacterial small subunit ribosomal RNA", at positions 355 to 796 of the family's 1533-position model. The record is from RNAcentral.